This 253-nucleotide ribosomal RNA is filed under the name uncultured bacterium. RNAcentral describes it as "partial 16S ribosomal RNA". It matches the Rfam family "Bacterial small subunit ribosomal RNA", at positions 524 to 776 of the family's 1533-position model. The record is from RNAcentral.
GACAGAGGGUGCAAACGUUGCUCGGAAUUACUGGGCGUAAAGGGCGUGUAGGCGGGAAGGCAAGUCGGGCGUGAAAGCCCCAGGCUCAACCUGGGAACUGCACUCGAAACUGCCUUUCUUGAGUGCCGGAGAGGAAAGCGGAAUUCCUGGUGUAGAGGUGAAAUUCGUAGAUAUCAGGAGGAACACCAGUGGCGAAGGCGGCUUUCUGGACGGUAACUGACGCUGAGACGCGAAGGCGUGGGGAGCGAACGGG